GAAUCAAUUUAUCAUACAACACCACUAUAUGCAGUUGUUCUUGUCAAUCCUCGACUUCGCAUAGCCUGUCUAGUGACAAAUGCAUCAUCCCAUUUUCCGGCAUCUGCAUAAAUGUUAGACAGAAGGACCCUACUAGGACCAUGAGAUGGCUCCACUCUUGCCAAGUUCUCUGCUGCCCUUUCACCUAUUUCUGUGUUGCCAUGAGUUCUACAAGCAGCCAA
RNAcentral lists this unclassified non-coding RNA (221 nucleotides) under Hevea brasiliensis (rubber tree). The record is from RNAcentral. Lineage: Eukaryota; Viridiplantae; Streptophyta; Magnoliopsida; Malpighiales; Euphorbiaceae.